Non-coding RNA from Cydia pomonella (codling moth), 73 nucleotides. NCBI's taxonomy places the organism in Eukaryota, Metazoa, Arthropoda, Insecta, Lepidoptera, Tortricidae. The record is from the annotation of a RefSeq genome assembly.
GCCUUGGUAGCUCAGAUGGCAGAGCACUGGGCUUGUGAUCCAGUGGUCGUGAGAUCAAGUCUCAUCCAAGACA